Ochlerotatus camptorhynchus is the source of this 9703-nucleotide long non-coding RNA. RefSeq lists it as uncharacterized. Lineage: Eukaryota; Metazoa; Arthropoda; Insecta; Diptera; Culicidae. The transcript is spliced from 2 exons. The record is from RefSeq and is a predicted model, not a curated record.
AGGAACGAGAUGAACUAGCCAAUGAGCUAAAAAUCUCGCUAAUGAAGCUUUAAAAAACUCUGCAUUAAGCGUAGGUCAGCCUUAUGUAGCAAAGGAAAAUUGACGGGAUUCUAGGAAGAUGUACCACCCGUUUCACUAUGAAAACUAACUUGAAUUCGGUAUAUGUUGACGUUAAAGAACACGUAGAAGGCUAAGAAUGUACCAGGUAAUGUCGUAGACGUCUCGAGCAGCCAACAGGAUGUAGACCGGCUUUGAAUGUUGGUGAAAGGAGGCUUGUGCGCUUGGUAGCGAAUUGCUAUGCGCAUCCGAAGUUCCGAAAUUCCGAAGUUCCGAAGUUCCGAAGUUCCGAAGUUCCGAAGUUGGUUGACAUUAGAGAGGGUCUAGUAUUCACUGCCAAUGCAAUCAAGAUAGGCGCUGCUCGAUUUGCUCUGGCUUGGCUCUCUUAUACUAAACCCUCUCUAGUUAACAUGAGUGCGCAUCACUCAGCGAUACCAUAGGAAUCCAAUGUUAACUGUUUCGAACAUGUAGCUUCACGUUUUUGUUGAAGGAACGGAGGUCCUCGUUCGUUGGUACUUGCGUACCUACAGUCGGAGGCCCUUACUACGGUUGUAAGUGCUUCUGCGCGUUAACAAGAAGCUAUCCAGUGAAUCUUAGAACUCCUCGAAUGUCUUUGAGGAUCCGCUAGAAGGCAUCCACGAAUCGUUUCGUGAAUAUGGCGCUUUUGAGCUAGUUUUCACGGAUUUACCCAACCGAGCAAACAAUCGAGAUGCUGAUGGUGGCAGAAGUUGGGCUACUACAUUCUAUCAGACCAUCACAGUUGACGUGUACGCGUUGCCAUGUGAUGAGACGAUCUAGCUAUGGACGACACUGUUGACAUGUCAUUACGGAGUUUAUAAUUUUGACAUCCAUGUUGGGCUAUAACAGGUAGGUUCUUGACGAUGACCUUCAUUCACUCCAUGUCCGCGUGAGUAUGAUAGAACUGUUUGAGAUACAACUCACGAUACAGUGAUGGAAAGAGUCGUUCCGUAAAAACGAUGCACCCAUUCAUCAUGGUGAGUGAUUUCCAUCUAGCUUCAGAUCAAUGAAAUUCUAGACCGUCCAGCCGUUUUGGACGUAGCGGUGGACUAGAAACCCUUUGACUGUAUUACAUACCACUGACUUGAGAUCCACUUACAGAUUGUGGCUCGCAAUACCGUAGUCUUCGUUCGGUAGGUCUGCGUUGCACAUAUUCGAUAUCAAAAUUGUACAGCAGCAUGUUAAGAGCGAAGCAUUGAGGGUGGUAGACCGUAAUUCCCUUCUUCGAAUCAAACACACGAAGCAGAGGACUGUGAUCGGUGUGUAACCGCUUGACGUGUAUUUCGCGAUCAUCAUGCGGUUGUAGUAUUGCUCAGCCUGAAGUGAGUACCAUGGAUAUGUGUUGGACAACCUGAGUGGUCACCUACACAGCAAAAACAAUGUAAUAUUGAUCAACGUAAGUCAAGCUAAUGUAUGAAAUAAUGAUAUAAUAGCAAAAAGCAGAUACAAUAUUACAUCAAUAGAUGUAAUUUUGUUCGUAAAAUCGAUGUACAUCGUACAAUGUGAUAUUACACAACCGAUGGAUUGACCUGGUUGCAGCAGUUUCGAUGUAAUAUUCUACAACUUUUUUUUUGCUGUGUAGAGUCAUACGGAAGAACCGUCAGCGGAAUAAAUUCUUUCCCGCUUCGGGUCAUUGUGUGUAUGGGGAAGUUGAGGGCCCUCUAGAAGGUCGUACAUCGGCUAGGUAGGAUGAGGACGUUGUAUCCGCGGCAUAAUGAACGUAAAAUUAUACGAGGUAUACGAUCCCGUGGAUUCAAUGUAUAUUCGUUAUGAAUCAGCUAACACAGUAGUAACGAGUUCGCUGCUUCUUGGAUGAUAAAUUCAAGCAGUGUUGGAAAAGUUCGCGAUAUUUCAUGAAGUUCACCAAGGGAAAAGUUCGUGACUCAUAGUGAGUUUUCGCGAACCUUUCCAUCACUGAAUUCAAGUUGUUGGAGUUGAGCCUCUCAAUAACGUAGUAUUUAUCUUAACGAGCUGGUUGACCAACUACGACAGAAGGUCUGAGUUACUGAACGUAUUCGAUGUCGAAAUUGUAGAGCAGUAAGUUGAAUGCAAAGCGUUGAAGGACGGGCUUACUGUAGCCUUGUUGGAUACGUGAUAAACAACUUUAAUGAUGCGGUCGGAGUACCUAUGGUCGCGCCGAGUUAUCUUUCAGCAGAAACGGUUAGGCUUCAAAAGAGGAUUUGCUUGAACUGCUCCUGGUAGUCCGGACUCCAGUGGUGAAUCUUAGUCUCUGCCUUGAGCGGGCAGCGUAGCAUUGCGCAUGUUGGAGACAAACUUGCCAUAGUAGUUUAGAACCCUCAAGAAAAAUCGCACAACGGAUACAUCGGAUGAGGACGUAAUCCACGACAGUCGACGAUGUGCCUCAAGUAGCGGGUAUGCUGCUUUCGAAAUGUGCACGACUCGGAUGAUAAAUUCAGUUGAGGCUGGUGAUAAAGGGACGUAGUGGUUGAUCAACUUUGAGAGCAGUCCUGCCUUGCGGAACUUGAUGGUGGGCACGUAUUCGAUGUCGAAAUUGUAGAGGAACAAGUUGACAGUGAAAUGAUGAGGGCCGUUUUCUAUGUAGACCGGAAGCCCCUUCUUGGAAUCGAAGAUAACGAAGUAAAGGGUUAUGACCGCGGUCUAUAUUCGGAACCUUAUUAUAAAGCAGAUAAAAGUAUUCGUGAGUGCCCUGGAUACGAGUUCCAUCAGCGAACCUAUGACUAAUGUGAUGUUUACUAGAAAUACUCAGAGGGAUAGAUGGGCGGAGAAAACAAAAUACAAUGCGGCAGUAGGGAUUUGUACCUAAAUCAUCUUGCAACCCUUGCUAGAAGCUUUUUUUAUUAUGGUCACUUUAACACUUUUAAGUCAUUCGUGACUUGUCCGGGGGUGAGAUUUUGAACUCGUGACUUUGGCGUGAGAGUUAUGGAUGCUAACCAUUACGCCGGGGUCGCGCCUCUUGCUAGACUUUUAUUUUUGAUUCGAUUUACGUGUACAAUAAUAAUUGAUUGCAUCGCAAUAUUUUGCACAUUUCUUGGUGCCAUUAAUUACCCAACUAAGAUCAAUUAAUCAACAGAGUUAGAAUAUUGAUUUUGAUUAAAAAAAACUAGUUGAAUUUGAGAAGCACACGAAACAAAAAGGUGAUUGAAUUUCUGUUCGAUUGCAAUACUCUCAAAUUUAAUCUAGUAAGAAUAAGGAAUUUUAAUGAGAAUGUUCGAUUGGCUCAAAUUUUGACAGGCUCAAAAAAUUCUCUCCGCCCAUCUGUCCCUCUGAGUAUUUCUAGUGUUUACAUAUGCGCUAAUUUGCAAGCGCUAGUGUACUAGAACUGUACUAAAAAGAAUCCAGCAUAAUUUAAACAGGGCGUCAGCAUCUGCCACCAUGAGAUAUUAUAAACGACUGAAAUUCGUGAUAGUUUGUUGAGCUAAUGCAUUAGCAUAAGUGUAAACAGCCCAAUAUGGCCAGUUUACAUAUGCGCUGGUUCACUAGCUCAACCAAAUAGUGAAAAUUUCAGUUGCUCCUAAAAUCUCAUGCUGGUACAUGCUGACGCCCUGUUUACAUUAUGCUGGCUGCUGUUUUAGUACAUUUUUAGUACACUAGCCCUAGUGAACCAGCGUAUAUGUAAACAACUCCCUAUUUGUCGUCCCGUUUCGGGUCGUUCCGGAAUGAUUUGAGACUUCAUUCGAGCAGUUAAAAUGACGUUUACUACCACUCGAACUUUGAAAUAAAACAUUAUUUUGAGAUUUUUUUCUUCUAAGAGAAAACGAGAAAAGUAGCCAUCAUUUGUGCGUUUCAUAAAAAAAAGAGAAAUUAGUCGGUCCAGUUUUAUGGAAUCGCUGGUAGAAAGUCACGCCAAAACUGCUCGACAAAGUGGUCAAUUGCUUUUAAAAACAAACACUUCAAUCGGCGAUUUCUCGCGAAUAAAAGUUCAAUCUCGAAAACGAAUAACAACAUCCGAAAACUAAUAAUGAUUCCUCUAUCAUUUGGAAUAGGUUGUUUUUCGAGGUAGAAACGUGUUUGUUUUUAAAGGCAAGUACGCCCAAAUCUCAAAUCCGGCGUUGUUUGUGAGUAAUAGAUCCGAAGCGAGGAUUUUCUUGAACUGCUGCAAUGACGGCACCGUCGAGAGAUCGUCUCUUCUAGCAAAUAUUGACAGUUUCUUAUGGGAAUUUUCAGUGGAGUGAAAGGAUAGUACCUAGGCCGCCAUGUUUAACGCACAGUCUGACGAUUGCUUAUGGAUUUUACCACAGGAUUAAAAAGCUACAGAGUCCGUCAACGCCAAUUGCUGUCUGGCCUCGUGUCUAGCACUUCGGACUCAAGCGGUCAAAUUCCGUUUCUGCCUUGAGGAUAUAAUCGAGCGGGUAGCGUACCAUACGUAUGUUGAUGGCCCCAAGAAGGAUCCCAUACCGGAUACAUUGGUUGAAGGUGACAGCUUGGAAAUUGACUCGAUUUGACCGGAUCCAGACGUAACCUAAGGUGAGAAAUUUGCUGCUUCCAAAACGUACACUUUUCGAAUCGGAAGGUAAGAUCAAAAUAACCUGGGAUCGCUGCAAAACUUCCAGUAGAUUGUGGUCGUACUCCGCGUCGGCUUCACUGCCUUCGUUGACAUCAACAAGAUUGCGAAAAGUACCCAUCAGUCCAACUAUUCACUAACUAAGUGAAAGCGUCCGACAAAUCAUACGGUAGAUCUUGCAGUUAGCUUGUCUGUCGAAGAUGCCGACUGGAAGUGCAAGUGAAUACUGCUGCGGUUGAAGAGCUGCGUUCAAAGCCGUCGAGGUUAGGUUAGGCACUAUAAGUGAGACUUUCAGCAGUGGGUUGGUUCUUUUGAUAAGAAAUAAAAGAGAGCAUAGGCAGUUAGAUGCAUCACAGUUUCUAAAAUAAUUCUACAAGACUGAAUCAUGGUCUACAGAACCCUCAUAAAUCCAAAAUUGUUACUUGAGUAUAGUCCAUUGUGUCAGACUGGCGUUGAUCAUUGGGUUGUCCGUGUGUGAGCAGUAAUUGACUAGACGUCGUUCGACCGUAUUCAGUGUUGGUUAAUAUGCUGGGGCUCAAGCAAUGGUCAGGAUUUGUAUGGAGGAACUAGAUCCUUUCGAAAAGGUCAGUGCCGCCAUUCUGGAUGGAUCCUCGAUAAGCAUGUCCCGGAUGCUACCUGUUAUACCAUAGAACUCGAGGCCAGUACCAGAUGAUAUGUUGUACUGAAUGAAGAACUUGAAAGAUUUCACAAGUCUUGUCUUGAGAGAGUUUCAUCGUGCGGGAUUGGAAUCGGGAGGGUUCUCCCAUCUCCAGGCAGCUCCCUUGUAAUUGAGCUAUCAGAAUAACGGAUGGUAUGUGAGAUGUAUUUGAUUCUUUGAAGCUCCCCCACCGAUGUUACCCGUUCGGGGGAGUUGUGCCACAUACGUUCAGGUCAAAAGGUAGCACUCCGCUUUCAACGCACAUAACAACACACCAGCUGUAGACGGGAGGAGGCUGUAGCAGAUCCGGAGGAUUUGGUGAUAUGGAAGCGUCAGCAUAGUGAUGAGUUGGUCACGGGCGAGACUGGUAAGUUCGAUGCCAUACAGGAGCCGCGACCGGUUGCAAUCGGGAUGUCGUCUGGCAGUGGAACGGAAAACAUUUAACCGAGUUUUACAGCCACACUUAACGUCCCGAAAUGGGCGACGAAGGACAGAUAUCUAGUUGGAUCCCAAUGAGCUGGGCCGUCUUUUGAUAGGGCACAACUGUCUCGUCAAUGUAUAUGGAAGUGCUGAGAGGACUAUGCUGGUGCGAGUAGAUGUGGACCAGAGACCUUUUUCAGCUGAGAGUCGAAUCCAGCAGACGACGCACACAACGAUACAAUCCUGGCAGCCAGUUUAAUCCGGAGCGCCUUAACGGUGUUACAAAUGACUACGAGUAAGGGCAUUAGACCGAACCACGAUUGCCAAUCCUUGCGGGACACCUGUCUCCUUGCAGAAUUAUCGGUUGAGUACUCUGCACAUCCUGAUGGAACCAUUGACUUUAGCAAUAGAUCACAUCUUUCAAACAGUAGAUUUGAUAUUCUUUGGAAGUAUCUCGAAGCCUCAAGCAAGAAGCUGUCCGAUAUGGAACUCAAUCUCAUCACGAGGAAGUAGCUUCAAAUUGAAAACCUGGAAAAUCAGGAAAAUCCGAUGACUGACAGUGAGAAGAUUGCUGAGUCCUUGGUAAGCGGGAUCCAGGAUUUCCAGUACGAUCCAGACGGAGAAGUUUUCUUCGCUGGCUGGUAUGCGAAGGUACGAGGACGUUUUUACAAAGGACGGCCAAUCCCUGAAUGAUGCCGCCCGUGUGAGAUUGCUUCUUCGAAUAUACGGAUAUAACACAGAAUACCUGACACCGCUGGAUCCACGCCAAAUGACGACCUUCUCCGAUUUGCAUGAAACUUUGCAUAAUUGUUUGUUCUGGACAAUGAUUCACAUUUUUGCUAAAAUUUGGCUAUUACAGUCAACUUUCGCUCGUUGGGCUAAACCCAUAGCCCACUUAUAGCGAAUUUGUUUAUUAUUCAGUUCCAACCUGGAUCGGGUAUCAAGAUUGGGUCUGCUUGUUUUCUGAAAAACGUCAGUUUGCUCGUUUGUUUUUAAAACCUAGCUCAGGUUGAGGUUCGCGCUGACAAAAAGUUCGGUUUCACCCGAUAAUAAACGAAUUCACUGUUAGUGAAAGGCUUUCGUUAGUUGGGCUGAGUUGUCAAGCUGAAAAUUGGUUGAGGGAUACAGCGAUUGUUUACUAUCAUUAGAAUCACUUAGCAAUUCCAAAUUGUUCAUCCAUGAGCCCCUCGAAAUGGAAUCAGCACUGUCAGAAACGGUGUUUGACUUCGAUUUAAGUUGGCAAUAGCCCAACUAGCGGGAUCCCAACUAAAACGUAGCCCACUCAAAGAUAGCCCAACGAGCGAAAUUCGACUGUAUAUACAAUUAUUUUCGAUAUUUUUCCUAGAACUGAUGCGAAUUCGGUUUGUAACUCACUUCUUCUUCUUGUUCGCAUUUCAAGCUUAUUGCUUAGCGCAUAAUAGCUUAUUGCGUGCUCUCAACUUAGUGUUCUAAAUGCACUUCCACAGUUAUUAAUUGAGAGCUUUCGAUGCCAAUACCAAUGCAUGAAUUUGUAUAUUGUGUGGCAAGCACAAUGAUACUCUAUGCCCAGGGAAGUCGAGAAAAUUUCCAACCCGAAAGAUGAUUUGUAACUCACAUGACCUGCGAAUUUCAAGUUAAUUGACCGCCUUUAUUGUUUAUAUCUAUGACAGACAUGAUUGUACCUCUAUAUACCUCUAUGAUUGUACUAACGUUGUACUCCAUUAAGCAAGUACCUCGAUUGUGGUACUAGAUUAAAGGAUUACAAAGUUAUUACAAUCAUGUCUCUCAUAGUCUCUACAUUGAUUAUGUAGCUUUCAAGCGUGAGUCAUCGACAACGAAACACUUUUGGUUAUGGCUAAAUUCGAUGUAGAAAGCCUCAGAGCUUCCGCAUUACAUUUAACAGCGGGAAAAGUGUGAUCGAACAUUCGUUAUCAUUUACAAUAGUCAACUCAAUUGCUUUCCCAGAUCAUAGCCUUUCACCAACGCAACAUAACCUCUCGAACGAAAGCGAAAUUUGAACAAAAAUCAGAACGAAACAACACGAUAGACAACAUUCAACAUACAAACUCGUGAUCGCCGCGAUCCGAACAAUAAUGGUAUCUUGUAUUAUCACAAGAAAAAACGGUUUAGAACACAUUUGAAACCCUGCGUGAAGUGCCAUCGCUUUCGAAUAGUCUCUCAACGUACACCAAACAAAAUAACAAAAUAACAAAAUAGCAUAUAUAGUAUUUAUGUUCUAUAUUGUAUUGUGUAAACAAAAAGGUACGUACUUUGGAACAGUAGUCGAAAGAGGCAUCAUUUCAAGCAAUUAUUUAGACACUCUAAAGAGAAAUCACAACCAAUUUUGCAAAUACCCAGAACCGGGAUGGACGAAUGGAGGAAGGAAAGUAAGCUGUAUUUGUACAUAUCUUGUGAAAAAUAUUACUAAAAUUGCUAGAGGAAAAAAACACUACUAAGCAGAAUACCGAAACAGUAAACAGUAUAAGCAAAUCUUUGAGCGGAAAACAGAAAUUGAUGAACAUAUUUUUUUAAAGCUGAAACACCUAAAUAACACUAAACCGAUGGACAGCCAGUGAAAGCCAACACAAUAAACGAAAAACUAAUAAGAAAUCAACUAAACCCGGAAAACCGAUAAAUGGCAAACGAAGAAGAAAACCAAGUAAACAACCACAAGCAAUUAAACCUAAAUCGCGGAUCCAUUUGCAUGGUAUAGUUGAAAUCAAAAUACACACACAAAAAAAAUAGUAGAAUAUUAUCAAGCAAAAAAAACUAAAUAAAAAAGGAAAAAAAUCAACAACUUGGAAGUUGGAACAGAAAAUGGACAAACCGCAAACACACAAUAGUUGUGCGUUUCAGUGGGUGUAGAUUUUUUUUUUUAGUGAGAAAGCAGAUGAGGAAGCGAAUCGAAAGGCGACUCUUUCUUAAGGCGUUGUUGGCUCGAGAGCGUUUUGUCCCGUUCGUUGUGCUAAACAAUCCGCGCUAUCAAAAUACAAUACAAAUUACUUUUAGUUUUUUGUUUUGCGUUCACUUUCUUUGUAAGUUUUACGUUUUACGUUUACCUGUAAUUUUAAGAAGAGCCUCUUCUAGCAAAUGGAAGCGCAUGUUUUCAGUUUCCGUUUUCUAUAUAGCGAAAAAAACAAUGGGAAAAUACAAUCCGUAAGCUAGAAUAGCAAAUCAAGUUACGAGUUUUGUUCUUUGUAACGCCAAAACGUAAUUAUGCUUCAUUCGUCUCCUCAGAAGUAGAGUUUUUACGAAAGAAUCGCAUUGGAGAAAUUCUAAAUCGAUGGCAAUUUUCGUGAAAAUACACUAAUACAUAGCAAGCGCUAGUAACUGAAAACAAAAUAAGUAAAACAAAUAAUCACAAAAGUCGACUGUUUCGCUUUUUCGUUGUAUUGUCGUAUGUAUUAAUGAGCAAAAUGUAGAAAACAAAACCAGAAAGCAGAAGGAGCAGCAGCAAGAAGGUGGUGCGUGUCGGAAAAGGUAAGCGAGUGAGGAAAACUAGAAAUAACUAAUAAGGUGGACAUAUUUUGUAAAAAGGUAAACUGAAAAAAAAAACAAUUUGAACAUUCAAUUAGUGACGUUUUCGAAAUUUACGUGAUCAUCUUAUCAUAAUAGGAAGGAAUAGAAAACUGUAAUGCAAAUGAAAUAAACUCAUUCGAACGAAGCAAAAAACACGCAUAAGACAGAUAACGAAAUUUGAAGAAAAGAAAAAGGCACAGGGAACCUGGCGCACCAGUAAAGGUCACCAGAUGGAGUGUGGGACUGCUAGAGAAAAAGGAAAACUUUCAUACGAUAAUGUGCGGAGAAAGAGACAAAGACCGACAGGAAAAAAAUAAUUCUCAAAAAACAUCCCAACAACAAAACACAAUAGAACACUUUUUGGAAAACCACUUUGAAAAACAAAACUACACAAUAUGGCAAUGCAAACAUUGGAAGCAGAAGAAGGGAACGCGUUUAAAGAGAAGAAAUAGCGUUUAAGCGUACAUGCAUAUAUUAUAUUGAUGAAGAAAACAAAAUUAAAAGUGAAUAAUUUGAGGAAAAAAUGAAAAAAAAAAAUAAUGACAAAUAAAAGAAAUAAUAAAUUUAAA